GAACCUAGUGCCCUGUGCAUGAUAGGCCAGCACUUUAUCAGCAGACUGUAUGUAUUUCUUAGCACUGUAACUUGUUUUCAGGUUCAUUGACUUCUUCCAUUCUGGUACUGAGGAUUGAGUGUAGAGUCUUAUUAGGCAUGUUGUUGGCCUCUGCGGGAUAUGGAUAUAUAUGUAUAUGUGUAUGUGUAUGUGUAUGUGUAUAUGUAUAUGUAUAUGUAUAUGUAUAUAUGUGUGUAUAUGUAUAUAUAUGUAAUAUAUGUAUGAAUGUAUGUAUAUGUAUAUGUAUAUAUAUGCACACACAUAUAUGCAUUAUAUCAUUAGUAUCUCACCCUUUUAUUUUUAUUUAUUUUUCUAAAAAAAGAUUUGUGUUGUUUUAUGUGCUUGCAUGUAUGUAUGUCUAUUUGUGCCUGGGGACCACAGAGGAAAGAAGAGGGUGUCAGACAC
RNAcentral lists this long non-coding RNA (444 nucleotides) under Rattus norvegicus (Norway rat). RNAcentral's name for it is "long non-coding RNA NONRATT010038". The record is from RNAcentral. Lineage: Eukaryota; Metazoa; Chordata; Mammalia; Rodentia; Muridae.